GAAUGCAGAGGUGCCCGAAAGGGAACCUAGACACAGGUGCUGCAUGGCUGUCGUCAGCUCGUGUCGUGAGAUGUUGGGUUAAGUCCCGCAACGAGCGCAACCCUUGUCCCUAGUUGCUACGCAAGGGCACUCUAGGGAGACUGCCGGUGACAAACCGGAGGAAGGUGGGGAUGACGUCAAGUCCUCAUGGCCCUUAUGGGUAGGGCUUCACACGUCAUACAAUGGCCGGUACAGAGGGUUGCCAAAGCGCGAGCUGGAGCCAAUCCCCAGAAAAGCCGGUCGUAGUCCGGAUUGCAGUCUGCAACUCGACUGCAUGAAGUCGGAAUCGCUAGUAAUCGCGGAUCAGCAUGUCGCGGUGAAUACGUUCCCGGGUCUUGUACACACCGCCCGUCACACCAUGGGAGUGGGUUCUACCAGAAGUAGGUAGGCUAACCGCAAGGAGGCCGCUUACCACGGUAGGAUUCAUGACUGGGGUGAAGUCGUAACAAGGUAACCGUAA
This 499-nucleotide ribosomal RNA is filed under the name uncultured beta proteobacterium. Its description in RNAcentral is "bacterial SSU rRNA". It matches the Rfam family "Bacterial small subunit ribosomal RNA", at positions 1003 to 1505 of the family's 1533-position model. The record is from RNAcentral. Lineage: Bacteria; Pseudomonadati; Pseudomonadota; Betaproteobacteria.